Molecule: ribosomal RNA, 253 nt
Filed under: uncultured bacterium
Lineage: Bacteria
Description: partial 16S ribosomal RNA
Rfam family: Bacterial small subunit ribosomal RNA
Source: RNAcentral
GACGAACCGAGCGAACGUUGUUCGGAAUCACUGGGCUUAAAGGGCGCGUAGGCGGGUGCUCAAGUCCGGGGUGAAAUCCCACAGCUCAACUGUGGAACUGCCUCGGAUACUGGGUGUCUCGAGGGUGGCAGGGGUAUGCGGAACUAUCGGUGGAGCGGUGAAAUGCGUUGAUAUCGAUAGGAACUCCGGUGGCGUAGGCGGCAUACUGGUCCACUUCUGACGCUGAGGCGCGAAAGCCAGGGGAGCAAACGGG